Bubalus bubalis (water buffalo) is the source of this 694-nucleotide long non-coding RNA. RefSeq lists it as uncharacterized. The record is from RefSeq and is a predicted model, not a curated record. The transcript is spliced from 2 exons. Lineage: Eukaryota; Metazoa; Chordata; Mammalia; Artiodactyla; Bovidae.
AGAAGCUCCUGGCAGCACCUCAGUCCACCUGCCUCCAGGGUAAUCUGCUCCAGUGCUGAACCAGCUCCAUUCAGUUCCUGCCAAGAUGUCCUGCCAGCAAAACCAGCAGCAGUGCCAGCCCCCACCCAAGUGUCCCCCCAAAUGCCCACCCAAGUGUACUCCUAAGUGUCCUCCCAAGUGCCCAGCCCCGUGUCCCCCUCCAGUGUCUUCCUGCUGUGCCCCCACUCUGGGGGCUGCUGCAGCUCUGGGGAUGGAGGCUGCUGCCUGAGCCACCAGAAGCUUCGCAGAUCUCUUCGACGCCGACAUCAGAGCUCUGGUUGCUGCGGCAGUGGGUGGCCAGCACUCUAGGGACUCUGGAUGCUGCUCUGGGGGCUCCAGCUGCUGCUCUGGGGGCUGCUGCUGAACUGGGUCAUGAAGACCAACUGAAGAGCAACACUGCAGGAUUCAAAGAGCUGAUGACCUGCCCAGCCUGAGUCUUCUCUUUUUCAGGCUUGGAAGAUUGGAAGAAGAGAACGGAAGGGCUUCUGAAACACUGCCGCCCUUCUUCUUCCUGCCACGUUCUUUCCAUGGUGAGGUCUAGAGGUUUAACCUCUGAUACUCACUGGCCUGAUUUCCCACUAGAUAUAAUUCUUUGGAGGACUCAGUAUUGGAAUUUGGGUUAUCACUAUAACCAUAAAGCUUUUUAUUCGUGGUG